This 556-nucleotide ribosomal RNA is filed under the name Sparassis crispa. Its description in RNAcentral is "LSU rRNA". It matches the Rfam family "Eukaryotic large subunit ribosomal RNA", at positions 82 to 642 of the family's 3401-position model. The record is from RNAcentral. Lineage: Eukaryota; Fungi; Basidiomycota; Agaricomycetes; Polyporales; Sparassidaceae.
AGUAACUGCGAGUGAAGCGGGAAGAGCUCAAAUUUAAAAUCUGGCGGCGUCCUCGUCGUCCGAGUUGUAAUCUGGAGAAGCGACAUCCGCGCUGGACCGUGUACAAGUCUCUUGGAAAAGAGCGUCGUAGAGGGUGACAAUCCCGUCUUUGACACGGACCGCCAGGGCUUUGUGAUGCGCUCUCGAUGAGUCGAGUUGUUUGGGAAUGCAGCUCAAAAUGGGUGGUAAAUUCCAUCUAAAGCUAAAUAUUGGCGAGAGACCGAUAGCGAACAAGUACCGUGAGGGAAAGAUGAAAAGAACUUUGGAAAGAGAGUUAAACAGUAUGUGAAAUCGCUGAAAGGGAAACGCUUGAAGUCAGUCGCGUCGGUCGGAAUUCAGCCUUGCUCACGCUCGGUGUACUUUCUGACCGACGGGUCAGCAUCGAUUUUGACGGUCGGAUAAAGGUCGAGGGAAUGUGGCACCUUCGGGUGUGUUAUAGCCCUCGGUUGGGAUACGACGGUCGGGAUCGAGGAAAACCGGGCGCUUUCGCGUUUGGGAUGCUGGCAUAAUGGCUUUA